UUGUCCUCUCUCCUCAGAGCGUGCUUCCUGGUACUAAGCCUUUGUUUCUGAAAUAAGUUAGGACUGUGUUUUUUGCCUUUUACUUGAUGGUGAUGAAGACCAUCUGACAUGGCUUACACCUCUCACUUUGUUUAUAGUAUAAGCUGUAAAAUGAUGAAGAUCCAAUGUCUGGGGACUGUGUUUGUCUUGCAUGAAAGAAGAGUGAAAGUGAAUUUGCCUUCCCAUGAUUGUUUAUCAGGUAACAUUUUCUCCAAGGGUUUGUAAAGAUGAAAGUUUAUGGCUCCCCUGUCUUUUGUUCUAGGCCUGUUUUCUGGAUAGUGUGGAUAGCAUCGCAGUUCAUGGCAUGUUUAAAUCUCCUAGCAAAACAUACAUCCAGCUAAAAACAAGAGAUGAAAAUAUAAAGGUGGGAUCACCUUUUGAGUUGGUGGUUAGUGGCAACAAGCAAUUGAAGGAGGUAAGCUAUAUAGUGGUGUCCAGGGGACAGUUGGUGGCUGUAGGCAAGCAAAAUUCAACAACUUUCUCCUUAACACCAGAAAAUUCUUGGGCUCCAAAAGCCUGCAUCAUUGUGUAUUACAUUGAAGAUGAUGGGGAAAUUAUAAAUGAUGUUCUCAGAAUUCCUAUUCAGCUUGUUUUUAAAAAUAAAAUACAGCUGUUUUAGAGUAAAGCUAAUGCUGAACUGUCUGAGAAAGUCUCUCUGAGGAUCUCUGUGACACAGCCAGACUCAGUAGUUGGGAUUGUAG
This is a non-coding RNA of Vicugna pacos (alpaca), 740 nucleotides long. The record is from RefSeq and is a predicted model, not a curated record. Lineage: Eukaryota; Metazoa; Chordata; Mammalia; Artiodactyla; Camelidae.